ACUGUCUGCGGGUCCUACAUGAAACAAGGCUAUCCACUGCCUGAGUCUGAUUUUGCUAGAGAAGCUAUGAGCAAGAUGGAGUCAUGUGGUUGUGUAUCAGUGAUGUUUUGCCAGCCCCACCCAUUGGCAUCACUGCCUGGAAGGAAUCUUCGAACAGACUGUCAGGAGCUCAUUAACCUAUUGAGCUGGGACCACAAUUGUAGCUGUCUGAUGGUUAGAUGCUGUGUACCCCAGGAAGCCUGAGCAUACCUGAAUACAAUCAUGGGAGA
Molecule: long non-coding RNA, 269 nt
Filed under: Mustela putorius furo (domestic ferret)
Lineage: Eukaryota; Metazoa; Chordata; Mammalia; Carnivora; Mustelidae
Description: lncRNA (ENSMPUG00000024698.1)
Source: RNAcentral